GUGGCAGUGCCCAGCUGGCUCCAUCGGCCAGACCCCAAAACAUCGCAGGGGAGGAGGUUGAGGGAAGUGGCUCCAGCGAGCCCGGAGCCGUGCUGCCAGCUUCCCUGCGCCUCGCCGCCGUGCAGGAGAGGUUUGCUGGGCGGCUCUAAACACAGCCCUGGCCCGAGAGCAGGAGCCGUGCGGCUGCCAGGGGAGAGCAGAGCCCACGCAGCUAAUUAGGGACUCGAGGGACGCGUGUGCGCGCCAGCCAUCUGGAGGGGUCGUUAGCAGCGGGCGAAGCUCGGGAGCAAACGCCGAGUUGAUGUUGGAGAAACAUCAACCAAACUCUGAAGGCAGAGACUGCUUUCUUCACAGCUGUUUCUCUUCCCUGAAGUCUGCUGGAUAGACACGAUGCCGUGUCAAUGUUUUGGGGGUUCGGGUACGUGGUGCAGCAGCUCCCGCGGCUGCUGCCUGCCAAACCUGGCAGGGCACCGGUGCCUUGCACAGCCUCUGUGGGUCUGCAUGGCAGCUCUCGGUCUUGUUUCCAGUAAGACACUGGCCAAAGCCAGCUCCUGUUAGCAAUGCAUCUUGUCUCCCCAACAGCAUCCCAGGGCAGCGAUGUCUUCCCGUGGCUUAAGUCUGUUCCUGCUCUACGAGCCAUUCAGGCGCACGCUCGGGACCUCUUAAUUUCGGGGGCAUUUGUGUCCAUCUGGGUCAAACCCAGGUUGUAGAUGCUUUUAUUAAAGCAGAGGCACAGUUAA
Molecule: long non-coding RNA, 740 nt
Organism: Harpia harpyja (harpy eagle)
Lineage: Eukaryota; Metazoa; Chordata; Aves; Accipitriformes; Accipitridae
Exons: 2
Source: RefSeq, a predicted model, not a curated record